ACUAGGGAGCAGCAGUAGGGAAUCUUCCACAAUGGACGAAAGUCUGAUGGAGCAACGCCGCGUGAGUGAAGAAGGGUUUCGGCUCGUAAAGCUCUGUUGGUAGUGAAGAAAGAUAGAGGUAGUAACUGGCCUUUAUUUGACGGUAAUUACUUAGAAAGUCACGGCUAACUACGCGCCAGCAGCCGCGGUAAUACGUAGGUGGCAAGCGUUGUCCGGAUUUAUUGGGCGUAAAGCGAGUGCAGGCGGGUCAAUAAGUGUG
This 259-nucleotide ribosomal RNA is filed under the name uncultured bacterium. Its description in RNAcentral is "partial 16S ribosomal RNA". It matches the Rfam family "Bacterial small subunit ribosomal RNA", at positions 340 to 591 of the family's 1533-position model. The record is from RNAcentral.